This is a long non-coding RNA of Amblyraja radiata (thorny skate), 472 nucleotides long. RefSeq lists it as uncharacterized. The record is from RefSeq and is a predicted model, not a curated record. The transcript is spliced from 2 exons. NCBI's taxonomy places the organism in Eukaryota, Metazoa, Chordata, Chondrichthyes, Rajiformes, Rajidae.
UAAAAUGAAGAUAGAGAGAGAGGGAGCAGUGGAGAGAAAAAGUGGUGGAAAAACAGUGGUGAAAACAGGUACAGUGGAGUAAAACAGGUAUAGAGAGAAAGGCAGUGGAGAAAAAACAGAUAGAGAGGCAGUGGAGAAAAAAACAGAUAGAGAGGCUGUGGAGAAUAUACAGAGAGAGGCUGUGGAGAAUAUACAGAGAGAGGCUGUGGAGAAUAUACAGAGAGAGGCUGUGGAGAAUAUACAGAGAGGCAGUGGAGAAUAUACAGAGAGGCAGUGGAGAAAAACAGAUAGAGAGGCUGUGGAGAAAAACAGAUAGAGAGGCAGUGGAGAAUAUAGAUAGAGAGGCUGUGGAGAAUAUACAGAGAGGCAGUGGAGAAUAUACAGAGAGGCAGUGGAGAAAAACAGAUAGAGAGGCUGUGGAGAAAAACAGAGAGAGGCAGUGGAGAAAAACAGAUAGAGAGGCAGUGGAGAA